GUAAAAGUAAUUUGUAUGGAAUUGGAACGCUUGCUUACGUUUGCCGCUAGAGGCGCUGUUUCAACUCCAUAUAAAUUUGAGUUA
RNAcentral lists this microRNA precursor (84 nucleotides) under Bombyx mori (domestic silkworm). Its description in RNAcentral is "mir-2807 microRNA precursor family". It matches the Rfam family "mir-2807 microRNA precursor family". The record is from Rfam by way of RNAcentral. Lineage: Eukaryota; Metazoa; Arthropoda; Insecta; Lepidoptera; Bombycidae.